AGCAGCCGCGGUAAUUCCAGCUCCAAUAGCGUAUAUUAAAGUUGCUGCAGUUAAAAAGCUCGUAGUUGAAUUUCGGGACUAAUAUGUCGGUCGUGCCUCGGUACGUACUGGUUUAUUGGUUUCUCCUUUCUGAAGAACCAUGAUGUCAUUUAUUUGGUGUCGUGGGGAAUCAGGACUGUUACUUUGAAAAAUUAGAGUGUUUAAAGCAGGCUCACGCUUGAAUACAUUAGCAUGGAAUAAUGAAAUAGGACGUUUGAUUCUAUUUUGUUGGUUUCUAGGAUCGACGUAAUGAUUAAUAGGGAUAGUUGGGGGCAUUAGUAUUCAAUUGUCAGAGGUGAAAUUCUUGGAUUUAUUGAAGACUAACUACUGCGAAAGCAUUUGCCAAGGAUGUUUUCAUUAAUCAAGAACGAAAGUUAGGGGAUCGAAGACGAUCAGAUACCGUCGUAGUCUUAACCAUAAACUAUGCCGACUAGGGAUCAGAUGAUGUUAAUUUUUAAUGUACUCAUUCGGCGCCUUAAC
Molecule: ribosomal RNA, 519 nt
Filed under: uncultured Glomus
Lineage: Eukaryota; Fungi; Glomeromycota; Glomeromycetes; Glomerales; Glomeraceae
Description: SSU rRNA
Rfam family: Eukaryotic small subunit ribosomal RNA
Source: RNAcentral